GGGCGCAUAGCUCAGUUGGUCAGAGCCACCGGCUCAUAACCGGUCGGUCGUAGGUUCGAAUCCUACUGCGCCCACCA
RNAcentral lists this transfer RNA (77 nucleotides) under Desulfotalea psychrophila LSv54. Its description in RNAcentral is "tRNA-Ile2 (CAT) (tRNA-Ile2-CAT-1-1)". It matches the Rfam family "tRNA". From Rfam's summary of the family: Transfer RNA (tRNA) molecules are approximately 80 nucleotides in length. Their secondary structure includes four short double-helical elements and three loops (D, anti-codon, and T loops). Lineage: Bacteria; Pseudomonadati; Thermodesulfobacteriota; Desulfobulbia; Desulfobulbales; Desulfocapsaceae. The record is from RNAcentral.